CCUGAACAUGCUGUUGCCAAAAGCAACGGUGACCCCAUGGAGCAAAAGUCCUGAUAAUCAUUAGGGCACACUCAGUCAGAAUUUAGGAAUUUGAUAUAUUCUGGCUUUAAUGAGAUUUCCUCUUGAUAAACUAAACUUUCUAUGAGGGAAGAGAGGGGGACUUUACAGGUAAAUUAAAUGAAGAAUUGGCCACUUCAUCUAAGAAUGGAAAGCCAGAGAGACAGGAAUGUUACAGUUCAAAUUCUCUGGUAGUGAAAGUCUAUAAUUUAUACUAGAACUACUCCAAAAAGAAGAAAGAAGAACAAAAAAGGAGAGCAAAAAGGAGCGGAUACAUCUAUCACUGGGAAACAGUACUAUCCCCAGAAGACACGCAGGCAUAUUCUUCUACUGAACUCUAAUGGCCUUUUCACUCAGACUACACUUGGGAGCUGCAGAAACACUGCAACAAAUAUGGGACACAGGAUCAAGAUCAGAAAUUCAGAAGUGCGGAGGCACACACAGCAAAGUCACGUGACGAUAAGGGCCACCUGGCGGGGCAGCAGCCUGGAGCACAGCUGCCUGUCACCUGAGAGAAAAAGCUCUCUUUGGUGAUAACCCCAUUUCCAACAUUUCACAAAGAUAUCACCUUUGCGAUCCAAUAAAGAUUACACAGAAACUAU
Chinchilla lanigera (long-tailed chinchilla) is the source of this 659-nucleotide long non-coding RNA. Ensembl lists it as uncharacterized. NCBI's taxonomy places the organism in Eukaryota, Metazoa, Chordata, Mammalia, Rodentia, Chinchillidae. The record is from Ensembl.